RNAcentral lists this long non-coding RNA (1568 nucleotides) under Mus musculus (house mouse). RNAcentral describes it as "long non-coding RNA chr18:26011682-26013250". Lineage: Eukaryota; Metazoa; Chordata; Mammalia; Rodentia; Muridae. The record is from RNAcentral.
GGCUCUGAGAAGAUGAAUACCCGGUCACCAAGGAUAGAGCCCAGGUUGAUUGGGUGGAAGGGACAUCAGAAUUCUGUCUCUCUCUGUCUCUCUGUCUCUCUGUCUCUCUGUCUCUCUGUCUCUCUCUCUCUCUCUCACACACACACACACACACACACACACACACACUCUGUAUGUGAGUGUGUGUGCUUCAUUUACUCGAUUCUUCAUGUUCUGGUCUGCUCCACAUACACUUGUCAUGUGCCCAUCACAGUCCAGGCACUUGAGCUGACAGUUGCUAAGAAAAAAGGCUACUCAAGAACAGGAGGCAAAGCAAAGGACCCUGCAUUCUAUGGCUUGGUCCUUUGAUUCCUGCCAGUAUUUUCUAAAGAAGGAGCUUUUCAUGGUGGCUAGGUAGACAUUUAAGUCAGGGUAGAGUUGAAUGGCUAUUUCUAUUCUCAUGAAUCUGCAGAUAACCCCAUAGGUAACACCCAGGAAGGGUCCUUGUGCUUCUUUCUGAGUUUCCAUUCCGAGUUUCUGUUUCCAUGGCUACACCUUUCUAUGACAUAGCUUGUCAGUGAGUGGGAGUGGUUGGUGUCAAUUUGUGUAUUGUAUAUAGUUUGUAAUGAAGGCAGUUGUCCACCAGACUGAGGACACAGCUGGUAGGUUAUAACAUAGCAUAGCACAAACAAGGAGAAGUAAGAUGCAGGGCCAAGAAGAACAAAGACCAAAGUGGAGAAGUGUAGAUGUGCAGAAAUGACACUGUGUAGGAACUUUGUAAGGAAGGAAGGGAUGUAAGUAUGUAAAUCCAAAAGGGUCUGUGGCAGGCUGGGAUGCAUAGGGUCCAUCAAAGUCAAGUGGGAUGCAAUUGUUAUAGAGAAUGGUGGGUGGUGGUGCAUAUCAGGAUGAUGGGACAGGGGUGAUGUGCUUAUGAGGUUCUGGGGCUAGUGGAGAUGUGGUGUGAUCCAAAUUUCAAUGGGGUGUGUGUGUCAAGCUCAUGAAUCUUUUAAGAAGUAGAAGUAGGGCUAUGGUUUAGGUGGUGACUGGUGAUUCAGGCAAGAAAAGAGGAGGCAGCAUAUCAGGCCAAGCAGCUUGAAUUUGGAUACAUAUAUUGGCUUUGGAGCCAAGAGGAGUUACUGAAAGAUUAAGUGGAGGGGAUGAGAGAGAAACGGAGCUGAGUUUCAGCAGCUUUGAAAGAGCAUGGCCUCUGUUAUGGUGCAUGGAGGUUGUGAGGAGAAGUAGAGGAAUUUGCUUCAAUCCAUACGGCAUCCGAUGAGCACACCAGUCCCUGAGUGUUGGUACCAGCUGCAGUACAAUAGGGGUCCUUGGGGUAUGCUCACAGCACUGGAGACCAGGACUGGAGGAAGCCGAUCCCCGAGAGAGCCAGUGUAGACAAGGCGAGGACAAGGGUAAAGUCAUUUCACACAGUGUGCAAAUGAGAAGGAACAGCACUGGGAGACAGGGUCAUGAAAGAACAGAAGGGCUGGGAAUGUAGCUUAAUUGCUAGAGUGCUUACCUAGCAUGAAUCCUGGGUCUGAUUCCCAGUACCAAGUGUCCUGGGGAUGGUGGUGCACAUCUAUAAUCCCAGC